RNAcentral lists this ribosomal RNA (639 nucleotides) under uncultured bacterium. RNAcentral's name for it is "bacterial SSU rRNA". It matches the Rfam family "Bacterial small subunit ribosomal RNA", at positions 202 to 842 of the family's 1533-position model. The record is from RNAcentral.
AGGCGACUCCGGUGACGGAUGGGCAUGCGGCGCAUUAGGUAGUUGGUAGGGUAACGGCCUACCAAGCCGACGAUGCGUAGGGGUUCUGAGAGGAAGGUCCCCCACAUUGGAACUGAGACACGGUCCAAACUCCUACGGGAGGCAGCAGUGAGGAAUAUUGGUCAAUGGCCGGAAGGCUGAACCAGCCAAGUCGCGUGAGGGAAUAAGGCCCUAUGGGUCGUAAACCUCUUUUGUCAGGGAGCAAAGGCGUCCACGUGUGGACGAGAGGAGAGUACCUGAAGAAAAAGCAUCGGCUAACUCCGUGCCAGCAGCCGCGGUAAUACGGAGGAUGCGAGCGUUAUCCGGAUUUAUUGGGUUUAAAGGGUGCGUAGGCGGAGUGUCAAGUCAGCGGUAAAAUUUCGGGGCUCAACCCCGUCGUGCCGUUGAAACUGACACCCUUGAGUGAGUGAGAAGUAAGCGGAAUGCGUGGUGUAGCGGUGAAAUGCAUAGAUAUCACGCAGAACGCCGAUUGCGAAGGCAGCUUACCGGCGCUCAACUGACGCUGAGGCACGAAAGUGCGGGUAUCGAACAGGAUUAGAUACCCUGGUAGUCCGCACAGUAAACGAUGAAUGCUAGAUGUCCGGGGCGAAUGAGCUCUGG